GAUGAAGAACGUAGCGAAAUGCGAUAAGUAGUGUGAAUUGCAGAAUUCAGUGAAUCAUCGAAUCUUUGAACGCACAUUGCGCCCUUUGGUAUUCCAAAGGGCAUGCCUGUUCGAGCGUCAUUUGUACCCUCAAGCUUUGCUUGGUGUUGGGCGUCUUGUCUCUAGCUUUGCUGGAGACUCGCCUUAAAGUAAUUGGCAGCCGGCCUACUGGUUUCGGAGCGCAGCACAAGUCGCACUCUCUAUCAGCAAAGGUCUAGCAUCCAUUAAGCCUUUUUUUCAACUUUUGACCUCGGAUCAGGUAGAGAUACCCGCUGAACUUAAGCAUAUCAAUAAGCGGAGGA
This 341-nucleotide unclassified non-coding RNA is filed under the name soil metagenome. RNAcentral's name for it is "partial contains 5.8S ribosomal RNA, internal transcribed spacer 2, and large subunit ribosomal RNA". The stretch from base 1 to 120 matches the Rfam family "5.8S ribosomal RNA", at positions 35 to 154 of the family's 154-position model. The record is from RNAcentral.